GACUUGACGUUCGAAGCCCAUUGGGCCUUGAGGCCCAAAACUAUCCUGAGGUCUUUAACGAAAUUAUUCGUUUGAUUAAUUAACAUAUUAAUUAAUCCUUGCCAUAAAUAAUUAAACCAUUUAAUUAUUCUUACUCAUCUCCAUUGUUUCUUCAAUCUCCACCUUACACGGUGUACGAUCCAUUAGGUUCUUUUUAGCGAGGCAGUGGGCGAUUAAAACCAUUUUACAUCGAUUGUGAAUUGAAACUUACUUUCAAUUCUCCCUUUAGUGAUUACACACGUUUAGGGCUUCCACAAACCAAGAGUGACACCUAGCAGCAUAUCAUGGUUACCCAAGCUAAUCAGAAGAGGUGGAUAACCUAUUCAGUUUAGGAUUACAAAUGCAAUACGGUCUUUCUCUAAUACAAUACUCUUGAUCACAUUGUUUGGUUUGAUAGUUUAUUUAUUCAUGUCUACUAUCCAAUGUGAUUUGUGUGCUUAUAUGAUUGCCUUGAAUGUGAUUUAGAACGACUUUUCUAAAUCUCAUUCAUACUCUGGCUAGAGGUUCUAAAUCAUAUCAUAGAGUAUUCUCCCUCAAACGGUUUGAAGGUUAGAGAUCCCUUGUUGCGCAUUCACUUGUCUCCAUGACUAAGUGGCUUAACCCCAAUGAUGCCAUGGACACCUCGAUGGCGUGACUUUGACAUAAUCAAAGAUCAAGGACUUAACCACAAGACAACUGUGAUGCCUCAGG
RNAcentral lists this long non-coding RNA (729 nucleotides) under Malus domestica (apple). Its description in RNAcentral is "long non-coding RNA (MDOM_LNC016913)". Lineage: Eukaryota; Viridiplantae; Streptophyta; Magnoliopsida; Rosales; Rosaceae. The record is from RNAcentral.